Molecule: ribosomal RNA, 927 nt
Filed under: uncultured bacterium
Lineage: Bacteria
Description: bacterial SSU rRNA
Rfam family: Bacterial small subunit ribosomal RNA
Source: RNAcentral
AGAGUUUGAUCCUGGCUCAGAACGAACGCUGGCGGCGUGCCUAACACAUGCAAGUCGAGCGCGAAUGGAGCAAUCCUAGUAGAGCGGCGCACGGGUGCGUAACACGUGGAUAAUCUGCCUGGGUGUCUGGGAUAACCAGUCGAGAGAUUGGCUAAUACCGGAUAAGCCCCCGGGAGCUUCGGCUCUUGAGGGAAAAGGUGGCCUCUGUAUACAAGCUAUCACAUCCAGAUGAGUCCGCGGCCCAUCAGCUAGUUGGCGGGGUAAUGGCCCACCAAGGCAACGACGGGUAGCUGGUCUGAGAGGACGAUCAGCCACACUGGAACUGAGACACGGUCCAGACUCCUACGGGAGGCAGCAGUGGGGAAUUUUGCGCAAUGGGCGAAAGCCUGACGCAGCAACGCCGCGUGUGUGAUGAAGGUCUUCGGAUUGUAAAGCACUUUCGACCGGGACGAAAACCCGUUGGCUAACAUCCAACGGCUUGACGGUACCGGGAGAAGAAGCACCGGCUAACUCUGUGCCAGCAGCCGCGGUAAUACAGAGGGUGCAAGCGUUGUUCGGAAUUAUUGGGCGUAAAGCGCGUGUAGGCGGCUUUGCAAGUCGGGUGUGAAAGCCCUCAGCUCAACUGAGGAAGUGCGCCCGAAACUGCAGAGCUUGAGUGCCGGAGAGGGUGGCGGAAUUCCCCAAGUAGAGGUGAAAUUCGUAGAUAUGGGGAGGAACACCGGUGGCGAAGGCGGCCACCUGGACGGUAACUGACGCUGAGACGCGAAAGCGUGGGUAGCAAACAGGAUUAGAUACCCUGGUAGUCCACGCCGUAAACGAUGAGAACUAGGUGUCGUGGGUGUUGACCCCCGCGGUGCCGUAGCUAACGCAUUAAGUUCUCCGCCUGGGAAGUACGGUCGCAAGACUAAAACUCAAAGGAAUUGACGG